This 460-nucleotide ribosomal RNA is filed under the name uncultured bacterium. RNAcentral describes it as "partial 16S ribosomal RNA". It matches the Rfam family "Bacterial small subunit ribosomal RNA", at positions 338 to 795 of the family's 1533-position model. The record is from RNAcentral.
CCUACGGGAGGCAGCAGUGAGGAAUAUUGGUCAAUGGACGCAAGUCUGAACCAGCCAUGCCGCGUGCAGGAAGACGGCUCUAUGAGUUGUAAACUGCUUUUGUACGAGAGUAAACGCCGAUACGCGUCUCUGUCUGACAGUAUCGUACGAAUAAGGAUCGGCUAACUCCGUGCCAGCAGCCGCGGGUAUACGGAGGGUUAAAGCGUUAUCCGGAUUUAUUGGGUUUAACGGGUGCGUAGGCGGUCGGAAAAGUUAGAGGUGAAAUCCCGAGGCUCAACUUCUGAAUUGCCUGUGAUACUGUGCGGCAGGAGAGUAGGUGCGGUAGGCGGAAUGUAUGGUGUAGCGGUGAAAUGCUUAGAGAUCAUACAGAACACCGAUUGCGAAGGCAGCUUACCAAGCUACUUCUGACGUUGAGGCACGAAAGCGUGGGGAGCAAACAGGAUUAGAUACCCGUGUAGUC